AACUUCUCCUGGUGAGGGAGACGUUCAGCUAUGUAGAGCUCUUCCGGUUCCUUCACAGCCCCAGCCUCCUAGGACCUGCUAGCCGAAUAGAAAAACCGAAGGCGGGUGCGCAGUGAAAACAAGCUGCUGCCUUGGCAGAGUCGGGGCUUUGUUGGUAACUCUGCUGUAUUCUCUCCGCCAUAUUGCUGGUAGGCUCUCUCUUCACUCCAUGGUCGGCGUUUUGCGAGACAGGCAUCAGUGAAAGUUAUGUAGAGGUUGAGCAGAAUCCAGGAGUUACUGUUGUGACAAGAUUUGUGACAAUCCAGUCUGUACUUCUUCAGCUGACUUAACCAAUAUGUCUUGUUCUCCUCAUACCUCUCUGGUUUGCCAAGAUCAUUUUGUAUUUUAAUCCUAUCCUCCAAGCACUUGUAACCCCUUCCAGCUUGUUUUCCACAGACUUGACAAGUGUGUGCUCUAUGCCGUUAUCCAGAGCGCUGAAGAACAGAACAAAUCAUUGAACAGAACCAGACCCUUGACCAUCCCUCCAAUGUUUAGUGCCAUUUAAAGAGAAAGUAGGAGGCAACAACCAUGGUCCUUGCACAGACUGGGUGGUGGCUCUAGCAUUUUUAACAGGCCCAUUCAGUGCAUCCAAAAUUAGCUCUGUUAGUGCCUGUCUGAAGCUGCG
RNAcentral lists this long non-coding RNA (664 nucleotides) under Pelusios castaneus (West African mud turtle). RNAcentral's name for it is "lncRNA (ENSPCEG00000011926.1)". Lineage: Eukaryota; Metazoa; Chordata; Testudines; Pelomedusidae. The record is from RNAcentral.